This 567-nucleotide ribosomal RNA is filed under the name uncultured Flavobacteriales bacterium. RNAcentral's name for it is "bacterial SSU rRNA". It matches the Rfam family "Bacterial small subunit ribosomal RNA", at positions 46 to 617 of the family's 1533-position model. Lineage: Bacteria; Pseudomonadati; Bacteroidota; Flavobacteriia; Flavobacteriales. The record is from RNAcentral.
GCUUACACAUGCAGUCGAGGGGUAUAGUUCUUCGGAGCUAGAGACCGGCGCACGGGUGCGUAACGCGUAUGCAAUCUACCUUUUACAGGGGGAUAGCCCAGAGAAAUUUGGAUUAAUACCUCAUAGUAUGUGAGAAUCGCAUGGUUUUCACAUUAAAGUUCCAACGGUAAAAGAUGAGCAUGCGUCCCAUUAGCUAGAUGGUAAGGUAACGGCUUACCAUGGCGACGAUGGGUAGGGGUCCUGAGAGGGAGAUCCCCCACACUGGUACUGAGACAGGAACCANACUNNUACGGGAGGCAGCAGUGAGGAAUAUUGGACAAUGGGCGCAAGCCUGAUCCAGCCAUGCCGCGUGCAGGAUGACGGUCCUAUGGAUUGUAAACUGCUUUUGUACAGGAAGAAACACUCCCUCGUGAGGGAGCUUGACGGUACUGUAAGAAUAAGGAUCGGCUAACUCCGUGCCAGCAGCCGCGGUAAUACGGAGGAUCCAAGCGUUAUCCGGAAUCAUUGGGUUUNAAAGGGUCCGUAGGCGGUUUAAUAAGCAGNGGUGAAANCCAUCGCUCAACGGUG